ACGGGUGAGUAAUGUCUGGGAAACUGCCUGAUGGAGGGGGAUAACUACUGGAAACGGUAGCUAAUACCGCAUAACGUCGCAAGACCAAAGAGGGGGACCUUCGGGCCUCUUGCCAUCAGAUGUGCCCAGAUGGGAUUAGCUAGUAGGUGGGGUAACGGCUCACCUAGGCGACGAUCCCUAGCUGGUCUGAGAGGAUGACCAGCCACACUGGAACUGAGACACGGUCCAGACUCCUACGGGAGGCAGCAGUGGGGAAUAUUGCACAAUGGGCGCAAGCCUGAUGCAGCCAUGCCGCGUGUAUGAAGAAGGCCUUCGGGUUGUAAAGUACUUUCAGCGGGGAGGAAGGUGUUGCGGUUAAUAACCGCAGCAAUUGACGUUACCCGCAGAAGAAGCACCGGCUAACUCCGUGCCAGCAGCCGCGGUAAUACGGAGGGUGCAAGCGUUAAUCGGAAUUACUGGGCGUAAAGCGCACGCAGGCGGUCUGUCAAGUCGGAUGUGAAAUCCCCGGGCUCAACCUGGGAACUGCAUUCGAAACUGGCAGGCUAGAGUCUUGUAGAGGGGGGUAGAAUUCCAGGUGUA
RNAcentral lists this ribosomal RNA (579 nucleotides) under uncultured bacterium. RNAcentral describes it as "bacterial SSU rRNA". It matches the Rfam family "Bacterial small subunit ribosomal RNA", at positions 102 to 677 of the family's 1533-position model. The record is from RNAcentral.